Molecule: ribosomal RNA, 412 nt
Filed under: uncultured bacterium
Lineage: Bacteria
Description: bacterial SSU rRNA
Rfam family: Bacterial small subunit ribosomal RNA
Source: RNAcentral
UGAGGAAUAUUGGUCAAUGGGUGCAAGCCUGAACCAGCCAUCCCGCGUGAAGGACGACUGCCCUAUGGGUUGUAAACUUCUUUUGUAUAGGGAUAAACCUACCCUCGUGAGGGUAGCUGAAGGUACUAUACGAAUAAGCAUCGGCUAACUCCGUGCCAGCAGCCGCGGUAAUACGGAGGAUGCGAGCGUUAUCCGGAUUGAUUGGGUUUAAAGGGUGCGUAGGCGGCGAUAUAAGUCAGUGGUGAAAUAUUUCGGCUUAACCGAGAGACUGCCAUUGAUACUGUGUUGCUCGAAUAUGGUUGCUGUGAGUGGAAUGUGUGGUGUAGCGGUGAAAUGCUUAGAUAUCACACAGAAUAUCGAUUGCGAAGGCAGCUCACAAAGCCAUUAUUGACGCUGAGGCACGAAAGUGUGG